UCAAAUAUCGUGCCGAAGGCUAUUGGCCUGCC
RNAcentral lists this small RNA (32 nucleotides) under Bombyx mori (domestic silkworm). Its description in RNAcentral is "piRNA piR-bmo-1435180". Lineage: Eukaryota; Metazoa; Arthropoda; Insecta; Lepidoptera; Bombycidae. The record is from RNAcentral.